Non-coding RNA from Pseudonaja textilis, 2538 nucleotides. The record is from RefSeq and is a predicted model, not a curated record. NCBI's taxonomy places the organism in Eukaryota, Metazoa, Chordata, Lepidosauria, Squamata, Elapidae.
GGGCGGGUUGGCGGAGAGUUGUCUGCCGGCCUUGGGUGGCAACGUGCGCGCGAGGAGCAGCGAUGCUUCCUCCUCCACCACCACCACCGCCAUGAAGGAAGCCCGCGCGGGCAAAACAGUUUGAAGACCUGCUCCAGAAUGCUACUUAUACAGAGAAAACCUUGUUUUGUAUCAUAUAGGAAAGGAGAAGAGAAUACCUAUAUGAGAACACAACAAGCAGCAUGGCGGAUUCAGAAGACCUUUUGCUGAACAAGGCAAAGGAAGAUCAAACUGGUAAUUGCAUUGUAAAAGUGAACUCUGGUAAACAUUACUUCUGUGGUUAUUGUGCAGCCAUUACAAACAUUGCAGUAACUUUCCCAAUCCAGAAAGUCCUCUUUCGUCAACAGCUGUAUGGGGUACGAACCAGAGACGCAAUAUGUCAGCUACAGAAAGAUGGAAUCAGAAAUUUGUACCGAGGUAUCCUUCCUCCGCUGAUGCAGAAGAGCACAACCUUGGCACUGAUGUUUGGCCUAUAUGAAGAUUUGUCUUCCGUGCUGCUCAGACACAUAAGUGCACCUGAAAUCUUUGCCCGGAGCUUGGCAGCUGUGCUUGCUGGGACCACAGAAGCUGUCUUGACCCCUUUUGAGCGUGUGCAGACACUUCUGCAGGACUACAAACAUCAUGACAAAUUUACAAACACCUACCAAGCGUUCAGGGUUCUUCGAGAGCAUGGGGCCAGGGAAUAUUAUCGGGGCUUGGUGCCAAUCCUACUUCGGAACGGUCCUAGCAACGCUCUCUUUUUUGGCCUGCGAGGGCCCAUCAAGCAGUGCCUGCCAGAAGCAACAACUUACAGUACUCAUCUGAUCAAUGAUUUUAUAUGCGGAGGGGUAUUGGGUGCUAUGUUGGGGUUUAUGUUUUUCCCUUUGAAUGUUGUCAAAGCCCGCAUGCAGUCACAGAUUGGUGGGGAAUUCCAGUCUUUUUCCACAGUCUUUAUGAAGAUUUGGGUGGAGCGUGACAGGAAACUGACACAUCUCUUCCGAGGGGCCCAUCUAAAUUAUCACCGGUCCCUGAUUUCUUGGGGAAUAAUUAAUGCAACUUAUGAAUUCUUGCUUAAAUUACUAUAGUUGGUUAUUAAUUUUCUCUCUUCAGUUGAGCAUCGGACAAUCCUGUGUUGUCAGUUUCCAAGAUAUAAUGAGAACACACUCGCAAGUAUCUCUGACUCCAUAACAUUUGAGAAACUAAAUUGCCAACAAAUGGUGGUUUCAGUUGGUAUGGAUAUCAAAUAUUUAUGCAGUGCCUAACUAGUUCAAAAUAUAAUUUUAUUCAGUCUUGUUCUUAGCCUUCCAAUCUAUGGAUGUGGCAGCUGUAUGACUAAAACAAUUAACCGAGAAGUUUCCUGAAAUAUAAAGCCAGCGGACUGAUUCACUCAAAGCAUAAUAAACUAAAUUUCAUGCUGGCCUAUGAAAAUUUGCUCCAGGUCACGUUCAGCUUUAUUCAAUCAACACUCCUGGUGAUCCAAAGAAUGCACUUCAUAGAAAAUAGCAGAGCAAAAAACAAACAAACCCUGAUAUUUAAUUUGUUGUUUGACCAUUUGUAACAAAUGGUAGCAUUUUUUGUAAUAAGUGGACUUUGAGUUUCCAUGAAGCUUCAUGUCCCCCCUCUUGGUUUUUUUAUGAUGAUGAUUAUGAAUAUUAUUGUACUUUGAAAAGAGACUGCCAAAUGUAGAAGAGAAAACUCUUGUUCUAAAACAGGUUCCAAGUAGUUUUGGAGCACUACUGAUGCAAAUGACAUCUUGUCAUCAUUAGUAUUAAAUUUUAGAAAUAGUAGGAUGUAUCUCUACUAUUAAAUAGUGGUUGUUGACUAUAGAUGAAAGAGUGAGAAAAGCACUGAAAAGCUUUAAAAUAUUCUCCAACUUGCACUGUCACUGAAUUUUUCAAUGUCAAUUAGGUGUUUAAAGUAUUGAUUUGGUGAAAUAUUCUAAUCCAGGGUUUAGAAAGUUUGGUACAAAUUGGUAAACUUAACUAAAAGUAAACAGGAUAAAAUUCCAGGUAUUAUUUACUGGUACAGUACAACUGAUUGAAUGGGUUAGACACUACAUCAGGGGUGUCAAACUCAUAUAUCAGGGAAUUUUUUUCCCCUUCCCUAAACCGAGUGUGUGUGUGGCCAGUGUGUGAUGCAUCCGGCCCACAGGCCAGGAGUUUGACAGCCCUGCUCUACAUCAAUCUAAGGUCUAGUGAAGCAGAAUUUUUGCAUACCAAAAUGAAAUGUUUAUUGCAAUUUUUCACAGUAUUUUACUCUGUUGAAAAAGAAAUUGCAGAGCUAUUUCACACACCACUCACGAGUUGUUUAUAUUGAGGAUAUAUGAGUUUGCAAAAGGCUAGCUUGCUCUUUGCUUUUCCUUUAAUGCAGAUGAGUCUUCAUACAAAAAAAUCUGACAUGAGAGAUUCAUCCAUCCACUUUUAAUAAGUGACAAAAUUGCCUAAAUCCUUGCUUUAUACUGUAUAUAGCCUGUCUAUUCUCAGUCUAUAAACUCGUGUGACGGACCAUGAAUAUAUUAAA